GUCCCUGUAGCACAAUAGAUCGCGCGUUGGACCUCUAAUCCAAAGGUUGUGGGCUCGAUUCCCACCUGGGACG
This is a non-coding RNA of Trichonephila clavipes, 73 nucleotides long. NCBI's taxonomy places the organism in Eukaryota, Metazoa, Arthropoda, Arachnida, Araneae, Nephilidae. The record is from the annotation of a GenBank genome assembly.